GGAUGUAAAGGCGAUUUGGGCUGCGACAUCUGUCACCCCAUUGAUCGCCUGGGUUGAUUCGGCUGAUCUGGCUGGCUAGGCAGGUGUCCCCUUCCUCCCUCACCGAUCCAUGUGCGUCCCUCCCAAAGCUGCAUGCUCGGUCGAAGAGGAUGGCCUUCCCCGAAUAUUAGUUCAUUAUUUAUAAUAAAUGUACUGGUCUUAUAAGAUGUCCGUAUUAAGGGAAAUCCAGGUCAGAAGAGACAGUAUAUUAAGACUCUAAGCUAACUAUUCCUGUAAGUCUUUUGAUAGAGACUGUUAAUA
Molecule: small RNA, 300 nt
Filed under: Sorex araneus (European shrew)
Lineage: Eukaryota; Metazoa; Chordata; Mammalia; Eulipotyphla; Soricidae
Description: 7SK RNA (ENSSARG00000017905.1)
Rfam family: 7SK RNA (bases 1-192)
About the family: 7SK was discovered as an abundant small nuclear RNA in the mid-70s but a possible function has only recently been suggested.
Source: RNAcentral